Long non-coding RNA from Cydia pomonella (codling moth), 2101 nucleotides. RefSeq lists it as uncharacterized. The record is from RefSeq and is a predicted model, not a curated record. Lineage: Eukaryota; Metazoa; Arthropoda; Insecta; Lepidoptera; Tortricidae. The transcript has 3 exons.
ACGGCCCUAUUCGAAAAAUGCAAUACGGAAAAGAUAUGAGAUCGUUAAGUUCUGGUUUAGAUAUAGAUAAGUUCUCAAUUAGAUAUCGUUUGUAUGUGGUAUAAUUGACAGAAGCUGCACGAUUCGGAUGACCAAUGUCACUUUGACGUUAGAAUAUCUUUGAAAGAUCUUAGUCAGUGUUGCCAGAUGGGUUUUGCGUUCCGUUACGUGCACCUCUUAAAAAUAGUACGCAAAUUCAAGUUGAGUACGCAGUAUAAAAUUUACGGUGCGUUCCUAAAUAAUAUUAAUCGGAAAACCACCGAAUUUUAUCGCUACUAUAAAAAUGUUGAAAAUAGAACUUCACAUAUUUCGAUAAAAUAUUUCUUGUUUAAGGAGACUCAAUUCAAUGCAAAUUUGCCAACGGUGGCGUUUCGAAAUGUAAUACCGUCGCGGCGUCUGUCAUACUUCGGUCUACUUAAACACGCUGCACGCUGCUGCGACGCGUCAGGGCCUACCGCGAACCACGUUCGACGUGUUGCCUCUCUGUCGCACUUAUAAAUUCGUACGUAAGUAUGACAGGGAGGCAACACGUCGAACGUGGUUCACGGUAGGCCCUCUGUUCUGUGAUUGUUAGGCAAACACAAACAUUUUUUUUUACAACGGACGCCCACGAGUAUUCCUCUGCGUUGAAGUCAUUGUUGAAGUUUGAAAACUCAUAAAGUUUUGUUUUGUGAGUGAAACCGUGAAUAAUACUAAAUAAAAAUGUGUGACAGUGAUCACAGUGAUGAAAAUAUGUUGCCCACUACUCCUCAGGAAAUAUUAAAGCCUUUUCCGUUUAUGUUGUUCCGUUGUUUGCUAUUUUGACAACUUGAAAAGUUUUAUCGGCAGUUUGCGUGUUAUUACUGUGAAGUGUUUGGCCAAACCGCCGCUACCACUUUUGAAAGGAUGCCACCCAAAAAUCCAAAAAUGUAAGUUACACAAAACAAAAAGAAUUUAUUUGCAGAAAAAUAUAGCUAUUUGCCAGUUCCUUUGAUCGUUAACUUAUGUGACUGUUUUUUUUCAGUCGCUCGAACGCAGCACAAAUUAGAUUGCUCGUUGAAUACAUGUCACAGCACACCCGGUUCGCCAACCGGGAAUUUGACGGGCCUCUAAGGACCCCAGAGGUACGAGGCGCAAUGGGAGGCCCUUGCACAGGCCUUAAGGGAGCACGGGCCCAAUAAGUCAGUGCAGGCAUGGAAAGUGGAUAUCCUGAACGAACUGAAAAUUUUUAAUGAGGCGCAGAAACAAAAAUGGAGUGUUUUGAAGGAGGGGCACGACUUGUUGGCGAAUCGUAUUAACACAUUGGAGGACACCGAGAUUAUUGAGAACUUGGAAGACACAGUUAUAAUGGAAGAGGAAGACGUCUGAGCUAAGCGCUGUCCUCGCACCCUCCGUCUAGUUUACGUUUGCGGCCAUAUCAAAAAUACACACCGUAUGUUUAUUAGGGUUCCGUACCAAAAAGGUACAAAAGGAACCCUUAUGGUGCUAUUGCUAAAUAUCUCGAGAAGUACUUAAGCUAUCGAUGUGAAAUUUGGAAUAGUAAUGAAUAACGCUGACCCAAACAUAUUGGAUGUGUAUUUAUUUUAUUUUCUUUGUAAGUAUUAAUAAUGGAAAAUUCCCAAUAUGAAGAGGGGGUAAAAUUGCAAAGUCUAGUUAAAUAGGUCAAGUGGGGUAUCAUUUGAAAGAGCUCAAAUUGAAAAUUACAAAACAAUUUUUUAUUUUCAUUGUGAAAAAAAAAUUUACGUAUGAAGGAAAAUGUGAAAAUAAUACCAUCCCCCCCCCUCUCUCAUCUCCGAAGUUUAAGAAUAAAAAUUGUUUUUUUUACAUUGGUCAAGUCUUUCAUGAGAAAAUUUGAAGUUUGUACGGAACCCUCGGUGUGCGAGGUAAACGAACUCGCACUUGACCGGUUAUUCUUAUUGCCCAUAAGGCCCGUCCUUAGAUAUAUGUCAAUGAUUACGGUGAUCUCGAAAAUGGCUCAAAUGAUUUCAAUUAAAUUUGCUAUAUGGGGGUUUUCGGGGCGUUUUUGAGUUUUUACCUAUUUGUUUUCCGAGCAAAAGGAAUUAAAGUUUACUGAUUUUGAAAA